UGGGGAGUCGCCAAGCGGUAAGGCAGCGGCCUUUGGAGCCGCCAUUCGGGGGUUCGAAUCCCUCCUCCCCAGCCA
RNAcentral lists this transfer RNA (75 nucleotides) under Candidatus Buchananbacteria bacterium RBG_13_36_9. Its description in RNAcentral is "tRNA-Gln". It matches the Rfam family "tRNA". Rfam says of the family: Transfer RNA (tRNA) molecules are approximately 80 nucleotides in length. Their secondary structure includes four short double-helical elements and three loops (D, anti-codon, and T loops). Further hydrogen bonds mediate the characteristic L-shaped molecular structure. tRNAs have two regions of fundamental functional importance: the anti-codon, which is responsible for specific mRNA codon recognition, and the 3' end, to which the tRNAs corresponding amino acid is attached (by aminoacyl-tRNA synthetases). tRNAs cope with the degeneracy of the genetic code in two manners: having more than one tRNA (with a specific anti-codon) for a particular amino acid; and 'wobble' base-pairing, i.e. permitting non-standard base-pairing at the 3rd anti-codon position. Lineage: Bacteria; Candidatus Buchananiibacteriota. The record is from RNAcentral.